Molecule: ribosomal RNA, 1992 nt
Filed under: human gut metagenome
Description: bacterial LSU rRNA
Rfam family: Bacterial large subunit ribosomal RNA
Source: RNAcentral
UGAAUGUCCUAGGGGGUAUUGCACUUACCGAAGACUAUCAAACUCCGAAUGCCGUUUUCUUUUACUUGGGAGUCAGACUGUGGGUGAUAAGAUUCAUAGUCAAAAGGGCAACAGCCCAGAUCGUCAGCUAAGGUCCCUAAAUGUACGUUAAGUGGUAAAGGAUGUGGGAUUGCACAGACAACCAGGAUGUUGGCUUAGAAGCAGCCACUCAUUUAAAGAGUGCGUAAUAGCUCACUGGUCGAGUGAUCCUGCGCCGAAAAUUUCCGGGGCUAAAACGUACUACCGAAGCUACGGCAUCAUUUAUGAUGGGUAGGGGAGCUUCGUAUGCAGGCUGAAGCAUGACCGUAAGGACAUGUGGACAGUAUACGAGUGAGAAUGUUGGCAUGAGUAGCGAGAUGUGGGUGAGAAUCCCACAGGCCGUAAACCCAAGGUUUCCAGGGGAAGGUUCGUCCGCCCUGGGUUAGUCAGGACCUAAGCCGAGGCCGAAAGGCGUAGGUGAUGGACAACAGGUUGAUAUUCCUGUACCGCCAAUAAGCGUUUGAGAGAUGGAGUGACACAGUAGGAUAAGCUAACCGUACUGUUGGUUAUGUACGGCUAAGCAUUGAGGCAGUCUAAAUAGGCAAAUCCGUUUAGACAAUGCUAGGAUGUGAUGGGGAAGCCCUUCGGGGCGAAGUAGCUGAUUUCACACUGUCAAGAAAAGCUUCUAUCGAGUUUAAAGGCGCCCGUACCGUAAACCGACACAGGUGGGUGAGGAGAGUAUCCUAAGGCCAGCGAGAGAACUAUUGUUAAGGAACUCGGCAAAAUGACCCCGUAACUUAGGGAGAAGGGGUGCCUGUCUAUGACAGGCCGCAGAGAAUAGGCCCAAGCGACUGUUUACCAAAAACACAGGUUUCUGCUAAGUCGCAAGACGAUGUAUAGGAGCUGACGCCUGCCCGGUGCUGGAAGGUUAAGGGGAUCUGUUAGAGCAAUCGAAGCAGUGAACUUAAGCCCCAGUAAACGGCGGCCGUAACUAUAACGGUCCUAAGGUAGCGAAAUUCCUUGUCGGGUAAGUUCCGACCCGCACGAAAGGCGUAACGAUUUGGGCACUGUCUCAACAAUAGACUCGGUGAAAUUGUAAUCCCGGUGAAGAUGCCGGGUACCUGCGACAGGACGGAAAGACCCCAUGGAGCUUUACUGUAGCUUGACGUUGGGUCUUGGUACUACAUGUACAGGAUAGGUGGGAGACUAUGAAGCAUGGACGCCAGUCUGUGUGGAGUCAUCCUUGGGAUACCACCCUUGUAGUACUGGGAUCCUAACCAUAGGCCUUGAAUCAGGUCUUGGAACACCGUCAGGUGGGCAGUUUGACUGGGGCGGUCGCCUCCUAAAAAGUAACGGAGGCGCUCAAAGGUUUCCUCAGCACGGUCGGAAAUCGUGCGAAGAGUGUAAAGGCAAAAGGAAGCUUGAUUGCAAGACAUACAGGUCGAGCAAGGACGAAAGUCGGACUUAGUGAUCCGGUGGUUCCGCAUGGAAGGGCCAUCGCUCAACGGAUAAAAGCUACCCUGGGGAUAACAGGCUUAUCUCCCCCAAGAGUCCACAUCGACGGGGAGGUUUGGCACCUCGAUGUCGGCUCAUCACAUCCUGGGGCUGUAUUCGGUCCCAAGGGUUCGGCUGUUCGCCGAUUAAAGUGGUACGCGAGCUGGGUUCAGAACGUCGUGAGACAGUUCGGUCCCUAUCCGUCGCAGGCGUAGGAAAUUUGAGAAGACCUGUCCUUAGUACGAGAGGACCGGGAUGGACGUACCUCUGGUGUACCAGUUGUUCUGCCAAGGGCAUGGCUGGGUAGCUAUGUACGGAAUGGAUAAGCGCUGAAAGCAUCUAAGCGCGAAGCCAACUUCAAGAUAAGAUUUCCCACCGUAAGGGUAAGACCCCAGGAAGACUACCUGGUUGAUAGGUCGAAGGUGUAAGUGCAGUAAUGUAUUUAGCUUAUCGAUACUAAUAGGUCGAGGACUUGACCAA